AAAAUUGUUUAAAUGACAGGGUAGGGGCCUAUGUAAAGUAAACUAUACUCAACUUUCAAUUUUCUUCUUCUGUACGCUUUCCCUACAGCAUCUGAAAGAAAAAUAAAGAGUAUGAAUUAGUAAAAUUGUUUAAAUGACAGGGUAGGGGGCCUAUGUAAAGUAAACUAUACUCAACUUUCAAUUUUCUUCUUCUGUACGCUUUCUCUACAGCAUCUGAAAGAAAAAUAAAGAGUAUGAAU
This 239-nucleotide long non-coding RNA is filed under the name Mytilus galloprovincialis (Mediterranean mussel). Lineage: Eukaryota; Metazoa; Mollusca; Bivalvia; Mytilida; Mytilidae. The record is from RNAcentral.